This 446-nucleotide ribosomal RNA is filed under the name uncultured bacterium. Its description in RNAcentral is "partial 16S ribosomal RNA". It matches the Rfam family "Bacterial small subunit ribosomal RNA", at positions 338 to 795 of the family's 1533-position model. The record is from RNAcentral.
CCUACGGGUGACUGCAGUCGAGAAUCAUUCACAAUGGGGGAAACCCUGAUGGUGCGACGCCGCGUGGGGGAAUGAAGGUCUUCGGAUUGUAAACCCCUGUCAUGUGGGAGCAAAUUAAAAAGAUAGUACCCCAAGAGGAAGAGACGGCUAACUCUGUGCCAGCAGCCGCGGUAAUACAGAGGUCUCAAGCGUUGUUCGGAAUCACUGGGCGUAAAGCGUGCGUAGGCUGUUUCGUAAGUCGUGUGUGAAAGGCGCGGGCUCAACCCGCGGACGGCACAUGAUACUGCGAGACUAGAGUAAUGGAGGGGGAACCGGAAUUCGCGGUGUAGCAGUGAAAUGCGUAGAUAUCGAGAGGAACACUCGUGGCGAAGGCGGGUUCCUGGACAUUAACUGACGCUGAGGCACGAAGGCCAGGGGAGCGAAAGGGAUUAGAUACCCGAGUAGUC